This 459-nucleotide ribosomal RNA is filed under the name uncultured bacterium. Its description in RNAcentral is "partial 16S ribosomal RNA". It matches the Rfam family "Bacterial small subunit ribosomal RNA", at positions 338 to 795 of the family's 1533-position model. The record is from RNAcentral.
CCUACGGGAGGCAGCAGUGAGGAAUAUUUGUCAAUGGGUGCGAGCCUGAACCAGCCAAGUCGCGUGAGGGAAGACGGUCCUAUGGAUUGUAAACCGCUUUUGUCGUGGAGCAAAAGACGCCACGCGUGGCGUUCCGAGAGUACCCGAAGAAAAAGCAUCGGCUAACUCCGUGCCAGCAGCCGCGGUAAUACGGAGGAUGCGAGCGUUAUCCGGAUUUAUUGGGUUUAAAGGGUGCGCAGGCGGAAGAUCAAGUCAGCGGUAAAAGUGAGAGGCUCAACCUCUUCGAGCCGUUGAAACUGGUUUUCUUGAGUGAGCGAGAAGUAUGCGGAAUGCGUGGUGUAGCGGUGAAAUGCAUAGAUAUCACGCAGAACUCCGAUUGCGAAGGCAGCAUACCGGCGCUCAACUGACGCUCAUGCACGAAAGUGUGGGUAUCGAACAGGAUUAGAUACCCUAGUAGUC